GAUGAACGCUAGCGGCAGGCCUAAUACAUGCAAGUCGGACGGGAUUCAGGAGCUUGCUUCUGAUGAGAGUGGCGCACGGGUGCGUAACACGUAUGUAACCUACCUUUAUCAGGGGGAUAGCCUCUCGAAAGAGAGAUUAAGCCCGCAUAAAAUCACAGCACAGCAUUGUGUAAUGAUCAAAUAUUUAUAGGAUAAAGAUGGGCAUGCGGAACAUUAGCUAGAUGGCGGGGUAACGGCCCACCAUGGCGACGAUGUUUAGGGGAUCUGAGAGGAUGGUCCCCCACACUGGUACUGAGACACGGACCAGACUACUACGGGAGGCAGCAGUAAGGAAUAUUGGUCAAUGGGCGGAAGCCUGAACCAGCCAUGCCGCGUGCAGGAAGACGGCCCUACGGGUUGUAAACUGCUUUUAUACGGGAAUAAACCCAGAUACGUGUAUCUGGCUGAAUGUACUGUAAGAAUAAGGAUCGGCUAACUCCGUG
This 482-nucleotide ribosomal RNA is filed under the name uncultured bacterium. RNAcentral describes it as "partial 16S ribosomal RNA". It matches the Rfam family "Bacterial small subunit ribosomal RNA", at positions 28 to 507 of the family's 1533-position model. The record is from RNAcentral.